UGAACGCGAAGAACCUUACCAGGUCUUGACAUCCCGAUGACCGGCAUGGAGACAUGUCUUUCCCUUCGGGGACAGCGGUGACAGGUGGUGCAUGGUUGUCGUCAGCUCGUGUCGUGAGAUGUUGGGUUAAGUCCCGCAACGAGCGCAACCCUUCAUCUUAGUUGCCAGCAUUCAGUUGGGCACUCUAAGGUAACUGCCGGUGACAAACCGGAGGAAGGUGGGGAUGACGUCAAGUCAUCAUGCCCCUUAUGACCUAGGCUACACACGUGCUACAAUGGACGGUACAAAGGGAUGCGAACCCGCGAGGGGGAGCCAAUCCCAUAAAAUCGUUCCCAGUUCGGAUUGCAGGCUGCAACUCGCCUGCAUGAAGCCGGAAUCGCUAGUAAUCGUGGAUCAGCAUG
This 401-nucleotide ribosomal RNA is filed under the name uncultured Sporosarcina sp. RNAcentral describes it as "bacterial SSU rRNA". It matches the Rfam family "Bacterial small subunit ribosomal RNA", at positions 956 to 1356 of the family's 1533-position model. Lineage: Bacteria; Bacillati; Bacillota; Bacilli; Caryophanales; Caryophanaceae. The record is from RNAcentral.